Vidua chalybeata is the source of this 2419-nucleotide RNA transcript. It is a transcript of the gene named BTB/POZ domain-containing protein KCTD12-like, with no coding region annotated. The transcript has 6 exons. The record is from RefSeq and is a predicted model, not a curated record. Lineage: Eukaryota; Metazoa; Chordata; Aves; Passeriformes; Viduidae.
AGCGGCGCGGCCGGAGCAGCACGCCGGGGAGCGCAGCGGAGCGGCCGGGCCGCCCUGCCGAGGUGGGAGCAGCAGGAGCUCACCAUGGCCCUGGCAGACCCCGUGAGCUGUGCCAAAGGCAGUGAGGACAGCAACCCCUUCCCUGACAUCAUCGAGCUGAAUGUGGGGGGACAGGUGUACAUCACCCGGCACCCCACGCUGGUCAGCGUGCCUGGCUCACUGCUCUGGGAGAUGUUCACCCAGAAGAACGCCCGCUCGCUGGCCCGUGACAGCAAGGGCCGCUUCUUCGUGGACCGGGACGGGUUCCUGUUCCGCUACAUCCUGGAUUACAUGAGGGACCAGCAGCUGGUGCUGCCCGAGCACUUCCCAGAGCGCGGCCGGCUGCAGCGCGAGGCCGAGUACUUCAUGCUGCCGGAGCUGGUGAAGCUGCUGGUGCCCAAGCUCAGCGAGCAGAACUCCCUGGGGGAUGAUCCCUGCCAGAGCGACCCCGAGGAACUGUCCCCCGGCGCGGACACCGCGCGCGGCCUGAGCUCGGCCGCCACCGCACUGCCCAGAGCCGUGUCCGGUGCUGCCGGCUCCGAGGGCCGCAGGGCAGGGUUCAUCACCAUCGGCUACCGUGGCUCCUACACGCUGGGCAGGGACAGCCAGACGGAUGCCAAGUUCCGCAGGGUGGCCCGGAUCAUGGUGUGCGGCAAGACCUCGCUGGCCAAGGAGGUCUUUGGGGACACCUUGAACGAGAGCAGGGACCCCGACAGGCCCCCGGAGAGGUACACGUCCAGGUACUACCUCAAAUUCACCUUCCUGGAGCAAGCCUUUGACAAAUUGGCCGAUGCCGGCUUCCACAUGGUGGCCUGCAACUCCACGGGCACCUGUGCCUUUGCCCACGAGCAGACGGACGACAGGAUCUGGACCUCUUACACCGAAUAUGUUUUCUAUCGUGAGUGACACACAACCAAACCUCCGCCAACCAACCACUGACCAUCCCUUUCCCAUCCCUUGCUGGCUGUGGCCUAGAAGGUAGAGAUCCAUCCCUGAAUCCUGGUGUCCUCCCUCUGCCUCCUUUUCAGUUGGUUCUUGGGUUUUUUCCUUCCUCGUUGCUCCAAGUUGAAUCCUGCCCAGCUCUUCCUUGUAGCAGCUGCUGACCACCAACCUUCCUCCCUCUCUGUGACUUCUGCAGUCACUCCCAACCCUCUCUGGAUACGUGGACUCGGACACUGCUGUGGACGUGGGUUGGGUGGGACACACUGGACACUGCAUUGGGCUGGCAUUCCUGCAGCUGGAUGGGCUUGGACACUGGACUGGGCUCUCUGUCCCAUGCAGCUCCACGGGAUCCUGCUGCACACACUGGGACCUGCCAAGGGGGUUCGGAGGGGAAUCGUUGGGAUAAAGACAUGGGAAAGGUCCUGUUGUGCGAGGCCAGCUCUCCAGGCAGCUCUCCAGGCACUGCAGCCUUCCAGGAAGCUCCUGGCUCAGCCUUCCCGUUCCUGAGCCUUCAGAACCAGAGCAGAGCCCCAAAAAACCCAUGUCCUCCUCCGAGCCCAUCCUGGACCUCAAGGGAGACACGGCAGAAGCACUUCCAGAGAGCCUGGGAGGAACAGGGGAGCAGAGCUCCUGCCCACCAUGGGACACUCCAGGGAGUGGACAACCCCUGGAACACACGGAACUGACGCCAGCAGCCCUCGAGGAUGCUGCAGAGCCGAGGCAGAGCCCUGGGACAAGGCAGGAGCUGGCUGACCCCAGGAAUGCUGCCCGACCCCCCGGCCCCGAGGAGCCCAUCCCCGGUAGGGAUGCUCAGCCAGCGGUGAAGGACCCCAGCCCCACCAACUCCCCGCCGUGGCCAGAAGCUCCUGAGGAAUGCCCAGCCCGGCCCAGCACCCUGGACUUGUGCAGCUCCCUGAGGAAGCAGCAGUGGGGCACUGACCAGGCAGCGGUCAAGGAGAACGGUGUGGAGGCCACUCCGGCAACAGGCACGGCCACGGCCAGCAGCGAGGAGCGCCGGGCCCUGCAGUCAGAGCUGGGCAAGUGCAUAGAGGAAUUCCGCAGGAUCCGGAUCCCGGCCGCCUUUCCCAACAAAAAGCGGCAGUGGCAGAGCGAGCUGCUGAGGAAGUACCAGCUCUGAGAGCAGAUCCCAGCUCCCACUCCAGGGAAGGAGCUCUCCAGGCUGGGGGGGGCUGUUCCAGCAGUGGCAUGGGUUGUCCACGCUCCCCAAACGAGGAGCAGAGGUGGUUCGUGAAGCCCACGCAGAUGUUGGAAGGUUCACAAGUCUGUCCCCACCAUGGUCAUGGAGGGGAUGUUCCACAUCCUCAGUGGCACAGGCACAGCUGGAGCAGGUAGGACAAGGAAGGAUGUCCAGGGUGUUGUUCAGGACCAGCAGAAAUCCCCACAUUUCUGAAUUUCCCUGACAUUUCAAACAAUAAAA